CACCAGACUCCUACGGGAGGCAGCAGUGGGGAAUAUUGCACAAUGGGGGAAACCCCGAUGCAGCGACGCCGCGUGAGCGAUGAAGUAUUUCGGUAUGUAAAGCUCUAUCAGCAGGGAAGAAAAUGACGGUACCUGACUAAGAAGCCCCGGCUAACUACGUGCCAGCAGCCGCGGUAAUACGUAGGGGGCAAGCGUUAUCCGGAUUUACUGGGUGUAAAGGGAGCGUAGACGGCUGUGCAAGCCAGAUGUGAAAGCCCGGGGCUCAACCCCGGGACUGCAUUUGGAACUGUGUGGCUGGAGUGUCGGAGAGGCAGGCGGAAUUCCUAGUGUAGCGGUGAAAUGCGUAGAUAUUAGGAGGAACACCAGUGGCGAAGGCGGCCUGCUGGACGAUGACUGACGUUGAGGCUCGAAAGCGUGGGGAGCAAACAGGAUUAGAUACCCCCGUAUG
This 448-nucleotide ribosomal RNA is filed under the name uncultured bacterium. RNAcentral describes it as "bacterial SSU rRNA". It matches the Rfam family "Bacterial small subunit ribosomal RNA", at positions 329 to 793 of the family's 1533-position model. The record is from RNAcentral.